UGCGGGGUAGAGCAGCUUGGUAGCUCGUCGGGCUCAUAACCCGGAGGUCGCAGGUUCGAAUCCUGCCCCCGCUA
RNAcentral lists this transfer RNA (74 nucleotides) under Phycisphaeraceae bacterium. Its description in RNAcentral is "tRNA-Met". It matches the Rfam family "tRNA". From Rfam's summary of the family: Transfer RNA (tRNA) molecules are approximately 80 nucleotides in length. Their secondary structure includes four short double-helical elements and three loops (D, anti-codon, and T loops). The record is from RNAcentral. Lineage: Bacteria; Pseudomonadati; Planctomycetota; Phycisphaerae; Phycisphaerales; Phycisphaeraceae. RNAcentral also lists the same sequence under 3 other names.